This 493-nucleotide ribosomal RNA is filed under the name uncultured bacterium. RNAcentral's name for it is "partial 16S ribosomal RNA". It matches the Rfam family "Bacterial small subunit ribosomal RNA", at positions 29 to 523 of the family's 1533-position model. The record is from RNAcentral.
AUUGAACGCUGGCGGCAUGCUUUACACAUACAAGUCGAACGGUAACAGGUUAAGCUGACGAGUGGCGAACGGGUGAGUAAUGCAUCGGAACGUGCCCGGUCGUGGGGGAUAACGCAGCGAAAGCUGCGCUAAUACCGCAUACGAUCUGAGGAUGAAAGCGGGGGACCGUAAGGCCUCGCGCGAUCGGAGCGGCCGAUGUCAGAUUAGGUAGUUGGUGAGGUAAAGGCUAACCAAGCCAACGAUCUGUAGCUGGUCUGAGAGGACGACCAGCCAAACUGGGACUGAGACACGGCCCAGACUCCUACGGGAGGCAGCAGUGGGGAAUUUUGGACAAUGGGGGAAAGCCUGAUCCAGCAAUGCCGCGUGCAGGAAGAAGGCCUUCGGGUUGUAAACUGCUUUUGUACGGAGCGAAAAGGCUCUCUCUAAUACAGGGGGCUCAUGACGGUACCGUAAGAAUAAGCACCGGCUAACUACGUGCCAGCAGCCGCAGUAA